Phalacrocorax carbo (great cormorant) is the source of this 1339-nucleotide non-coding RNA. NCBI's taxonomy places the organism in Eukaryota, Metazoa, Chordata, Aves, Suliformes, Phalacrocoracidae. The record is from RefSeq and is a predicted model, not a curated record.
UUACGGAAUCAUGAAAUUGUUUUAAUCCGGCAUCUGCAGCGUGCCAACUGUGUGCCAGCACUACAGCUGAGCCAGGCGAGGAACGUUCAUCUCAUGACCGAUUGUGAUCCUCGCUGGGGACAGGGGGCAGCUGCCAGAAAUUCUCUGUCAGCAAAACAUGGCAAGAUCCUUCCUCGAGGUCAGAGGCAGCUGGCUGUAGAGAGAGCCAAGCCUUACCAUCUGCCUUCAUCCGGACCAAGAGGAGCUGCAAGACCAAAGCCAUUCUCAACAGUAACAGGACAAGCUAAUGCAGGAGAUGUGCCUCCAAGAGCACCUUUCAGCAGUCGUGUACUGGCCAAAGUUAGAGAGUUAUGGGUAGGAAAUGAGCAGAAACCCACCUGAGAGAGAGAUUUUCUGUUAUGUGGUGUUUGUUAUGCAAAACACAUAUGUUUAUAUUAUGGUAAAUGUGUUUAGAGAAUUUAAGAGAGCUGAAACUAAAACAAGGAUUACCAUCAAGCUAUUGGUGUAUGGAUCUGGAUAGACUUGAUUGUGUGAUCAAAUAGUAACCUUUUCCCACUUGCUGAACAUGUUUCUGCUUUGUUUCUGCCUCUUUUAAUUAAAAACAGGCAGAAUGAUAAAGAGCAGAAAGAGGCCAGUAGUUGUCAGAUGAUUUUCCUACAGGUGGUAUGGCCAAAUCACCCUCAAUUCUGGUAUAUUUGGACUUGAGGGCAAUGAAGGUCAGUUACUGUCCUUCUCUGCUCUCCUUUUGUCACGAGAAAAGACCAAGGCCUUGGACAGGUCGUACUACAAGGACAUGCCCAGCGUGCAAAUCAGGCCACAGAUAACUAAGCAGUUUAAUCCCCCAUCAGAACUUCUUCUCAUGGAAGAUGACUCUCAGGGUUGUCAGCGCAGUCAGUUUAUUUGCUGCAAUUUCAUCCCUUCCCAUGUAGACAACCAUAAAUAGCUUCUGGUGGGGAAGAAACAAGCUCCAGGCAGGAGCCAAUCCAUAGUUUCUUGUGAGUUGUUGGGCCCUGCCUGAAACCUCUUGGUCUAGGCCAAUCGGAAAAUACGAUGAAAGAAUAGAAUUUCACGUAGUAAGAUUGCCUUUGUUUCUUAUGUUGUUGGUACUUUUGUCUUCUGUGCAAAACUUGCAGGUUUCCAUUGCAGGAAUGCUGUUUUCACCAAAGCAGUCAAGAGAAUGAGUGCCUCUGCGAUGCUUGGAGAGAAAUGUUCUGCGGUUCCUUGUGAAUUACAGCUGUUCCUCAAAUAAAAAGCGUUUUCCAAUGCACUGUGCUGUGUGGGUGACCCAUACGUGAGGUAGAGGGAAAAAUGCAAGUGGCGGUUCCUGAUGUGCCUGUUG